AGUUUGAUCCUGGCUCAGGACGAACGCUGGCGGCGUGCCUAAUACAUGCAAGUCGAGCGGACCGACGGGAGCUUGCUCCCUUAGGUCAGCGGCGGACGGGUGAGUAACACGUGGGUAACCUGCCUGUAAGACUGGGAUAACUCCGGGAAACCGGGGCUAAUACCGGAUGCUUGAUUGAACCGCAUGGUUCAAUCAUAAAAGGUGGCUUUUAGCUACCACUUACAGAUGGACCCGCGGCGCAUUAGCUAGUUGGUGRGGUAACGGCUCACCAAGGCGACGAUGCGUAGCCGACCUGAGAGGGUGAUCGGCCACACUGGGACUGAGACACGGCCCAGACUCCUACGGGAGGCAGCAGUAGGGAAUCUUCCGCAAUGGACGAAAGUCUGACGGAGCAACGCCGCGUGAGUGAUGAAGGUUUUCGGAUCGUAAAACUCUGUUGUUAGGGAAGAACAAGUACCGUUCGAAUAGGGCGGYACCUUGACGGUACCUAACCAGAAAGCCACGGCUAACUACGUGCCAGCAGCCGCGGUAAUACGUAGGUGGCAAGCGUUGUCCGGAAUUAUUGGGCGUAAAGCGCGCGCAGGCGGUUUCUUAAGUCUGAUGUGAAAGCCCCCGGCUCAACCGGGGAGGGUCAUUGGAAACUGGGGAACUUGAGUGCAGAAGAGGAGAGUGGAAUUCCACGUGUAGCGGUGAAAUGCGUAGAGAUGUGGAGGAACACCAGUGGCGAAGGCGACUCUCUGGUCUGUAACUGACGCUGAGGCGCGAAAGCGUGGGGAGCGAACAGGAUUAGAUACCCUGGUAGUCC
Molecule: ribosomal RNA, 805 nt
Filed under: Bacillus licheniformis
Lineage: Bacteria; Bacillati; Bacillota; Bacilli; Caryophanales; Bacillaceae
Description: bacterial SSU rRNA
Rfam family: Bacterial small subunit ribosomal RNA
Source: RNAcentral